RNAcentral lists this long non-coding RNA (39766 nucleotides) under Coffea arabica (coffee). RNAcentral describes it as "long non-coding RNA (CARA_LNC000134)". Lineage: Eukaryota; Viridiplantae; Streptophyta; Magnoliopsida; Gentianales; Rubiaceae. The record is from RNAcentral.
AAAAGUUGUCUCCCUUUCUUGCUUUCUUCCUAAAGCAGACUCGAGUGAGUGAGACAGAGUGUGAGGGAAAAGAAAGUGUAAGCUUCACCAUCAGCUAACUAUACGAACGAAAACAGAAGGGAGGUCGAGUGAGGAGUUGUGAUAGCAAACUUGAGCAGUCUGCAUUAUCGAUUUGUAAGGGAAAAGAGGUAAGAAUCUACCAUAACCUUCUGCUUAUUUGGCACAAAUAAGUAUAUAUACAAGCUGCAUGUUAGUUUUAGCAAGGCAUAAUGAGUUUUAACCGAGGAGAAAUCUGAUAAAGGAGAAAAAGAUGAGAACUGGACAGAAAUGGAGGGAACCGAGAGUUGUUGUUGAGUUGCAGCCCAUAAAUAAAGAAAAUUUUCCGUAAUAACCUCUUAGUUAUUCAGUACACUUGAAUAUUAAGGUUGCAUGUUGGAUUGUAGCUAAGAAAAACUAAGCUUGGUUGAAGGAAAUAGUUGGAAGUUUCUGCUAUGCUGGCCGAAGGAGGAAAGACAGAAAUGUCCAAGUUUCUUUAUAUAUUUUGGUUCUAAACUCCUACGUUGAGGCUUAGUUCAUUGCAUAAUAUUUUAGUUUUGGCAUGCAUGUUAGAUUUGGGUAUGAAAUGAAGUAGUUAAUGGAGGAAUUUCUUGCUAAAAGAUUGAUUGCUGUCCGAAGCUUUCUAUCAAGGCCGAGAGAGAGAGAGAGAGUUAAACCUCUGAUCAGUUUUUCCUUCAAACUCCACUCUGUAAACUUUCACAUCUGAUAUCUAAAGUUACUGGGUAGUUUAAUACUUGUAUUUGGCAUGAUGAGCUGGAGUUAAAAUUGAAGGAGUUAUGGUAAAAAUGUUGCAUAUUAAACUGCGGCACUGCUAGAAGCUUUAGUUGUCCAAUGUCUUAGCUGAUGUCAGAUUGUUGUGCGUGGCUGUUGGGUUGAAUAAUCUGUUGAAACUAGAUGCUCUUUGUCUUGGUUUAUGCUGGACUGAAUGUACUUUAAAUAUUUAGAGCUUUAAGCAAGUGAAAGAAUAGCGUUUUCGCUGAAGGUUGAAGUAACGUUACUAGUUUUGGUUGCUGUCCCAGAAAUGAAACAGAUUAUGCUUCUGACCGUCCCAUUUUGGCCUUGAAAACGCGAUAACUGGAUGUCGAUGUCUUCAUAGGAAAUGUAGGUCUAGGUUUUAGCUUCGAAACGCUAUAAAAUUCGCCUCAAUCCGAUAAGCGUAACUCCAAUUAUGAUCAAAACACCCGAGGAUGGCAAAGCUGCCUUUCUUUUUGUUCCCGAAUGCACUUUGCUAAGAUGCUAACUGUGAGGAACCAACUUUUAACCAGCAUUUCCUCUAAUUUUCAACUUUGUAAGCUUUCAUAAAUGAUAGUUACGGUUAGUCUGAGAUUUAAUGGCUAUAUAUAGCUCCACAAGUAGAGUUAAACUAAAGUAAAUGAGAGGAAAACUCAUGAUAAUUAAAUUGGCUUCUAAUUACUUAAUACUGCCUUUACAAAUAAUUUAAAGACUAUAAAAUUUGAGGGACUGGUGUACUGGAAUAAAAUUUAAUUUACAAACAAUCUAGAGUUUAAUUAAUUAAAAAGGCGACCAAUAGAGUGCUCCUAAGCCAUAAUCUUAGAAUCUUGAGUGGAAAAUGAUUUAAUUCUAGAAUAAAUAUCUUAUAAAUUAUUAACUUGGGAAAACAGGUAUAAUUCUUGAUUAAAACAAUAAAGUCAAUAAGUUUCAAAAUAAAAUGAAAAAUGAAUAUUGAAUAUAUUAUAUUUGUACUUUAAAGUCAAACUUGAUUUUAAUAGUUCAAGUGAUAAAGUAAGAACAAUAAGUGAACAUCUACAAACUAUGUAUUUGAUUUGGAAUUAUUAACUUGUCCAGGAAGUAGCUGUGAACCAGAAAAUCGACUCGAGACUCGAGAGUAAUUUAUUUGGAUAUUUGGUGAGUGUUUUCUGAAUUUAUGUGUUAAACUGCUUAUGUGUACCUAAGUGCAAUUAUAUGGCAAAUGUGCUUAUUAUGAAAUAUUGCUAAGUGAUUCAUUGGAAGCGUAUCUCAAUUGUCCCUCGUCUUCUAAGUCGAGGGUGUACUUUAUCGCACUUGACUUAGUUGAACUUGAAGAUUGAUAAUUGAUCAAGUGAUAUUGUAAGUGUGCAUGACUGUAAGCCGUGUGUGUACUUUAUCACGCCGGCUGAACUGGGCCCCAAAACCCUCUGUUCAACGGACUAUUCGAGCCAGCAAAGGGCUUGGUCGGGUAGGACGGUAGGUUUGGGUAAGUGUUUUGGUAUGCUUGAGUAUUACCACGGUGUACUAGAUUACUGAUAUUGAUAUGGCCAUCCAAGUGAGGGAAGUGUUUAUUGUUUUGGAGGUUAUAAGGAGGAGUUCGGCGGAGUGUGUAGUGCAUUGAAGUGGCUCUAAUGCGAGCACCGUAUCCUUUUAAAAGUGAUUGUUCAGUGAAGUGUUUCCUCAAUUGCUAAUGAAAGUGAUUGUACAGUGAAAUGUGCACUAUUUAUUUAAUUGUAUUGAUUCAUGUGAUUAUUAAAUGUUACUUGCAUGGAAACCUCACGGGCGUAAGCUCACCCUUUUAGUUUUGUUUUCCUUACAGGAGUCAAAGAUUGAAGAGUGAUUGGAUUGAACUAGAAAGUUAUUUUGGGAAGAUCCAUUAUUCUGUGUAUAUAGUGUAGGCAUGGUCUCUGUUGAAUUUUGAAACGGUUGAAUUUUUGUUUGAGUUGGUGUGAUAUUAAGAAUGGAUAUUUAGAACAGGUAUUUUGUUUCUUUUAUUGGACAAAUUUAUGUUUCAAACUGAUUGGAGAUGUACUUAAGAGUGAAUGUUCAGUUGUUCAAUAGUAAUGUUAUCUUUGAAGUUAAUGUAAGUGAGUGAGUUCUGGCGAGAGUCAGGCAGACGAUUCGCUAACUUCUAGAGUAGACCCUAGGAGAAGGUGGGGCCGUCACACUUUAGAAUUGUCAAUUUCUGACAAAUUCAAAGCAAAAUUUUUGCCUCUUAUUUUUACUGAGAAAAGUUCAUUCCCAGCUGGAUCAUGUAUAAUACAAGUCCUAUUUUUGAAGAUGAUAGAAUAAUUCUUUUCCAAUAACUGUCCAACACUUAAUAGAUUUUGAUUAAUUUUAGGUACAUACAAAACAUUAGAAAUAAUUUUCGUACCUGAACCAUAAUCAAUAGCAACACUACCUUUGCCUUUCACCUCAAUAUAAUCUCCAUUUCCAAUUCUGACUUUGGAGAUUUGCGAUUUAUCAAGUUUCCUAAAUAUAGAUUCAUCAUAUGCCAUGUGAUGAGUGCAACCACUGUCUAUUAGCCAAGUUUCAGUAUUGAAAUUAUUGCUUGCAAAACAUGUGGCCAUGAAAAGUUGCUCCUCAUCUUGUUCAUCAACCAUCUGAACGUGAUGUUCUCUUUUUCCUUUAUUUUUGCAAACUCUCUCCAUAUGUCCCAUUUGCUUAUAAAACCUACAUUGAAUGUCAGAUCUAAACCAACAAUAUAAUGAAAGAUGUGAGGUUUUCUUACAGUGUGGACACGGAGGAUUUCUGCCAUUUUUCUUCUCAUCUUUGCUAUUUUUUUCUUGACAAUUUCUUUCACCUUGUCGAAUUUGAUCCUUGUUUAUUGCUUGAAAAGCACAUUCAAUGACUUCUUCACUUCUUAUUGCUCGUCUUUGUUCUUGUGCCUCUAGAGCAUUGAUCAAUUCUGGCAAGGUCAUUCGAGAGAGAUCUCUUGAAUCUUCAAGAGAGGAAAUCUUGACUUCAAACCUUUCUGGUAAACUCACCAAGACUUUCUCCACAACUCUGCUAUCUGGAAGUUAUUCUCCAAUUAAUCUGAUUUUGUUCACAAUAUUUAAGAGUCUGUCAGAAUACUCUUUAAUGUUUUCUUUGUCUUUCAUCCUAAGGAGUUCAAAUUCUCUCCUAAGGUUCAAAACUUGAAUCUGUCUUGUUCUAUUAUUGCCUUGAAAAGCCACUUUGAGAGCAUUCCAAGCUUCUUUUGCAGUUUCACAAGUCAUAAUUUUUGUGAAUACUGCAUCGGAAACUGCUGAAUGAAUGCAAGUCAUGGCUUUUGACCUCCUUUUGACUGCAUCUCUAUGGGCUCUCAUCUCUGCAAUAGUUGGAUCUUCUGACAAUUCAGGAACAGGAUCUAUCUCUACCACAUCCCAAAGAUCAUUAGCAUCCAAGUAUGACUUCAUUUUGACAGCCCAGACUUGGUAAUUUUCACCAGUAAAACUUGGAGGAUUGGAUAAGAAGUUGUUUCUUAGCAUUUUGAUGUUGAGGACUUAAGUGUGAAAAAGGAAUUCUCACCAGAUUCACUCACUCUCAAAGAAACAGGCCCUUAAGAUUUAGGCUCUGAUACCAUUUUAUUAGUUUUUUGGGGCAUAAACUAAGAAACAACACCCUAGUGUUGCAAAAAAAACUUAUAAGAGACUUGUAUUGAAGGCAAAAAAUGAGCUUAUGUUCUACAUUCAUCAACUCACUAUUUAUAGUGAUUACAUGAAACAAACUAGCAAAAUAUUCAACUAAUAAUUAUCCUAAAAAUCUCAACAAAAAUAUAAUCUUCUACUACUAGCAAAUCUUAGCUAAUAUAUUUGUUAACAAACCAACAUGAUCUUUGGUUAACAAAUAUCCUUAUUUUUUAAUAACUAAAUUAUUUUGAUAUCAAACCCAAUAUGAUAAAAUCAGUAGGAAAAGUUGGCAUAUCUCAACAUAAUUUUGUGGGAUAGAUUUUAUACUUUAUGGGAUAAAAUGUCCAAAAUUGAAGUACUAAAAUAGGAAGGAUUUCAUAUUUUAGGGAGGAAAGUGUCUAAUAUUAAAAUUUAAGGACUAAAAUGAGAGUGUGUUUAUAAUUUAAGUGUCUAAAAUAGAAUUUAGCCUUUUGUAAUUAACAAAAUCAAACUGAUGUAAUUUGCUAUUCCAUUAUUAACCCCUAAAUGAGAGGAAUAGAGGCCUGUCCAGUUAAUUUUGUCCAAUUCUGUCCAAUUAUUGUAAUUCGUACAACUUUUGCAUAAAUUCAUACAACUAUGAUGCAUUCCAGGAUUAGUCACAAGAAUUCACCAAAUACUGUAAGAUUUACACAAUUAGAUAGACUGGAUAAAAGUAUAACACAACAACAAUGGGCACCACUCUCUAAAAUGAGAUCUCUCUCUAGUAGAGACUCCUCUCUCCAGUGUGGGAGCCAAAAAGUUUCAAACUUUCCAAAAUUCAAAACUUCAAAAUCAAACACUCCAAAUUUCAAAACACAGGCUCCAAAACCGUGUCCAAAAGCCGCCAAUCCAAUAUGUCCAAGUGAUCCAAAGCACAAAAUACACAAAUCUUUUAGCAAACUACCAAACAACUAGUAUCAGCUCUAAAGUUAUAGUGGAGGUUGUCUUAGCAGCGGGAUGCAAGCUUAACUCUGUCCCCAUUAUUGAACUCAGGAAGCAUUGGUAUUGUUGGUCAUGGGGUCAUAAAAGCAGCUUAACUCCACUUGUUUAGAAGUUUUAACUUUUGUUUUCUGGGCUUUAUACUCUUUCCUUGUUUUUGUAUUUAUUCCGUUUCAAUUGUGUUUCCUCGUGGUUAACUCAGGUUGAUCUGACUCUAAUACUCCCAAGAAGUAGACAAACCUGAUCCUAGCAGUUGCAAUUGAUACAGGCACCAUUGAGAAGCACUGCAGUAUGGCGGAGACCCUUACAAAGGCAUUCCAAAGGUUUGAUCUAAGCAACAAAGAAAUGGAAGGAAUAGAUCUGGCGAUAGAGGAUGUGCUAGCUGGAGUUGAGGAAUGUAAGUUGAGCUUGGUAGGAAGAAUCAUUGGAGAGAAAGUUGCAAAUUUUACAGGGGUAAAAAACUAUGCAUCACACGUGUGGGCUACCCCAGAAACUUGUAGGUUAUUGAACUAGUCCCAAAUGUCUUCCAGUUUAACUUUGAAGAAGAAAAAGACAAGGAGAAAGCUCUGAAUGGAAGGCCAUGGGUUAUUGAUAACCAGUUACUAGUUAUAAAGCCAUGGGCACCAGGUAUAGAGAGGAGCCUUCCAUAUAUCUCACAUUUGGAUCCAAGUGUGGAACCUCCCAAUCCACUGGUUGAGGAAAGCAGUGGGCUUUAAGAUCAGACAAAUGUUCUCCGUAGUGAAAGAAGUUAUCAUCACACUAGGAGGAGGAAAGGAGGGGAGGCAUAUGAAACUACUGGCAGAAAUUGAUAUAUCACUACCAUUGGGAGAGGCACCACUAUCAAAUUCAAUGGAGACCCAAUCUGGGUUGAGUUUAGAUAUGAAAAAUGCCCAAAUUUCUGCUACAAAUGUGGAAUAAAAAGGCAUGGAGAUAAAACAUGCAAAACAAGUGUGAAAAAAGAGCAUAACCAGAGAGAAGAACAAUUUGGGGCAUGGAUGAGAGCACGGAACAUCAUGGCUUCUCCUCUUAGGGCCAGCAGAACAUCAGAAGGAGGCAUAGUAGGGAGGGUAGAAGCACAGAAGCAAAAAGAGAUUAUGCUACAAGAGGGAGUAGGGGUGAGGGUCCAGAAAAGUAGGAUAGAUAUAAAUCAAGAGAGUAGAGAAGAGGAAAUGAGGAAAAAUGAAAGGAGUAUGGAGCAGAAAGAGGAGAAAAAUUCAAAGGAAGAGGGAGAAAAAAUAAAAAAAAAUUGAGGGAGUAGAGAGGGAAGAGGGAGUCAGUAAAGGUAUGAAGGUACAAAGUCUGAGAAUGAAUAAGGGAGACAUAGAACAAAAGGAACAAAAAGAAAAUGAAAACAAAAAAGUACUUGAAAUACUCCAAGUGAUGGACACGGAUGAAUGUGAAAAGGAAAGUGGGUUGAACAAAAAUGAGGGACAAAGGGUUGAGGAAAACCAAAGGAAUAAGGUGAAAGAGCAGGAUAGAGAUGAAAGGGGAGGAGUACAGCCAAGGAGGAGGUCAUGCAUCACAAAAAAGCCUCUGGCUGAUAUCACAAAUGAACAAGGAAAGCCUAGGAUGAGAGGAAAGAGGAAGUUAACAAGUGAUCGUGAGGACUUGUAAAAUUCUUCAUAUUUUCUUAUAAUACCCUUUUAUUUUGAGUAAUUUACUUUAUAAUAUCUUUACUACUAAAUUACUCCCUCACUAGUUGGAAUAAAUAAUAGAAUCAAGAGUUUUAUCUUUACUUUUAUAGAUAGGGUAAACUAAAGUUUUUGCGUAUUUUGGUAGUGUGAUUAAUUGGUAAGGAGUGUGCACUAAAUUUGGUGGGUAAGAGUGAGUAUUAGGUAGGAGAAAGUGUGUGAUUAGAAGUGCUAAUAAUAAGUGAGUGAAUCACAGGUUAAAACACAAGUACGAGAGAGUUAAGGAAAAUCGGUUUGAACCGACGUGCACCGUUUGCUACCGAUCGAAUACACCAUUUAACCACUACUUUCUUGCCCUAAUCCUCUUAUUUUUAUUUGAGCUAAUCAGCCCUAAAAUAUCCCCUAAAGUAUCCGAAAUUUUGGACCAAAGAAAAGGGAGAAAAGAAAAAAAAAAAGAAGCCAUCUUGGUGCGACACUUGUUGGCAAUCCAUGAAAGUUUGACCAAGCUAGUUUCUUUCCUUCUUAUCUUUUUUCUUGGAUCAUUUUUCUUCAUUUUUCCUUCAUCUUGGCCAUGACUUUGGAGAGAAAAAAGGAGAGGAGAAAACUUCAAUUCCAACCUUGAUUCUUCCUUGUUUGAGUUAAAAUCUCAAAAACUAAACCGAUUAAACCUUCACCUUGGUACUAAGGAAGCUUGUUAUGGAGUUGUUUGGAGAGGAAAGCUUUUGUUCUUCACUUUCUUCAAGAGUUUUGGAAGGUAUAAGUCUAAAACUCCCUUUUAUCUUUCUUAAUCUAGCUAAAUAUGCUAUAGAAGCUUUUAAUCUUGGCAUCUGAUGGAUAAUUUUCUAGUUUUUGGUAGUGUAGUGAAAAUUUCAACUAGGGUUUAUAUUUUCAGCUUUGAUUAUUGAUGUUUAACUAGCAAAUGUGUUAUUGAGCUUGGAAAUGGAAUUUGUGAAGUGAUUAGUGGCAUGAUUGUUACUUUGUAGAGUUGAAAGUUCAAUUUCCAGCUUUGGCAAGUAAAUUCCAGCAUUUGGUGGCGAAUUUCAGUCAAUUCCAUAGAUUGCCGGUAGGUGUAGGAGAUGAACUAGAACCUGAUUUUUAUACCGUUGGAAACCUCUAUGAAUCUAGUUUUAAUUGCCGCUGACGGAGCUCAAUUUCGAUUUUUCUACACCAAGUUAUAGCCAUUGUACCAAAACUAUUCAGUUAUCCUGUUUUGGCUCCGACGGAAUUUAUAUGUCUCUGCUUUUGUCAAUUUCGACCCUAAUAAUGUUUGAACUGGGGUUUGAACUGGGGUUUGAUGUCAAUUUCGACCCUAAUAAUGUUUGAACUGGGGUUUGAUGUCAAUUUCAACCCUAAUAAUGUUUGAACUGGAGUUGAGGCCUAUGUCUUAGCUUCGAAAGCCAUCAAAUUUGCCUCGAUUCGAUGUACCUAACUACAGUUAUGACCAAAACACCGAAGGAUGACAAAUCUGCCACUUAUAAUUUCUUCUUUAAACUGGUUUCCACCUUUGAUAUCCAUGGUAAUAAGUUUAUUAUUUGGUUUGUUUGGUUGGUUUUGAGGCCUUGAAUAGAUGUAUGUUGUUGGUUAUUACUUGUGGUUAGAUUGGAGGUUUGUUGGCUUGUGAAUCCAAGUUGUACUUGGAUGGGAAAACUAAGAAAAUAGGGGAAAUUCUGCCCAAAUUUUCGCCCGAAGGAUAAGUGAGUGAACUUGAAACUUGAGCGAUGAUUUGAGAUCGAAAUGAACUUGGAUUGUCUAUGGUAUUCAAGUUUCCGUUAGUAGACGUAUAUAAGCUGAAAUUUUACCAAAACUCGUACUCUUUAAAAGGUGAAAGUAACGAUCAUUAGAAAGACAUUUUCCUCAUCUUUUAGACCAAGUUCCGAACUUAAACGUUUUAAUUGCUUCUUUAUCAAAACCAAAUGAGCGAGCAUGAAUUUUCUAGAGUGUGACAAGUGAAAUGAAUACUACUUUAACGAGUUUCAUUUAUUUGCUUUUUGUGAUGCCCCGAAAAAAAAAAUGAGUUUGAGAAUCCAGAAAUUUUCUAAUUUUCUAGGGUUCAUUUUUUUAACGCCCGCCUUUUCUACAUUUUCUUGAUUAGAAAAAUUCCCCAGAUAAAGUUUAUGAGCAAAAAUAGUUUUAAAAUGAAUUUUCUUGUAUCGGUUAGUUUUUGAGAAAUUAAGAGCGUAUUUGGAACGUGGGACCCGCAAGUGCGGUAAAUGCAUUAUAUUUUUGACAACUUGUUGGAAUUUUGUAUUAAGUGAUAUUAUUUUACAAGGUGUUAAGAUAUUUGUCUUGGAGAGACAAGAAGAUAAUCUCAAGCUUAAAGGGUGACAAGUGUCACCUUGUUAUUGAAGGUUGGACUUUGACAUUUGACUAUCUUACUACCUUUACCAAAUAAGUACCCAAAUUGAUCCAAAAUUACCUUCAUUCUUCAUCAUCUUGGCUGAGCUUUCAUUUCUUGCUCCAAUCAAACAAUUUAACGAUUAAACUUGGAUUUCCUCCAUAAAACCUCUUAGUUAGUGGUAUUAAGUUGGUUGUGAAGUUUGGAAGACCAAGGUGCUAAAUUGCUUCCUUUCUUGAGUUGGUAAGGUGAGUAGCUAAGGAACCUCUCUUUUCUUCUCAAUCAUGUUUAAUUAGUGGCUUAUGUGAGUUAAAGAGAUGGUUUGAUGAUUAUAUCUUGAUUUUGGUUGAAUUGGUGAAGUUUUAUAAUUAUUGGAGAUCUUUCUGUUUUAAUAUGAACAUGGUUGUGUAGUGAUAUAUGAUGAUUGGAAAUGAUGUUUAAAGACUCUAUGAGGUGGAAAAAGUGGUCAAUUGCAAUCAAUUUCAGUUUUGGAAGAAAUUUCAGAAAAUUAGGGUUCUUGAGGGAGCAUUCUGUCCGAAUUUUUAGCUCCUAGUUAGAGGCCGAAUUGGCCUUGGUUUAAAACAUGAAAGUUGUAGGGAAUGACAUUUUAGAGGUGCCUACAAAAUUUCAGGUCAAUCGGAGUAGUGUAGAAUGAGAAAAGUCGAAAUUACUAUUGCUGUCCUGGUUUUACCCGAAUGCUAGAAUUGCGCCUGUAAUUGGUUGUUUUGGCUGGAAUUGCUUCCGAAUUAGUUGUUGAGGCCUUCUGAUGAAAUUUAGCCCUAUUUCUUAGCUAUCAGUUGGUUUUGGAAUUUCUGGAUUUGGACUUGGAGAACCUGAGUUAUGAUGUUUCCGCUAGAAUGCGUUCUGUGAAGCUGUUUUUGUGAUUCUGGUGUAGUUUCUUGUGUUUUUGACCUGGUUACACUCGAAACUGGGUUGAGUGACCUUCUGUAAUAUUGUAACCCUAUCUCUUAGCUUUGAAACGGUGGGUCUUGCACCUUCAUCCGAUAAUCGUAGUGCCUUUGGUACCAUUACCGCAAAAUGACGUCAAAACCUGUUUUUCUGGUUUUGAGUUUAACUUUCAUUUCUAGACUUUUUCCUAGCUUGACUUGUACUAGUACUACUUGGAGUUUGCUGAAUGGCUAUUGGAUGAACCUGUUGUUGUGUGUGUACCUUUGGGUUGGAAUGAGGAAAUCAUGAAGCCAUGACGGCUGGAAAAGUAAGCAAAUUUAGGGGAAGUGCUGUCCGAACUUUUAAAGGAUUUGUUUGCAUUGAGUUUGUGAUCUAAGACUUGGGUUUGAGCAAGGCAAUGAUACAUGAUGGAUGAUUUCUGAGCCAUUGAGGUGAGUGACCUCAAACUAUUUCUAAAGUUAUUUAUGAACCGUUUUUUUUGCUUUAUUUACCUUUAAACUAUUUCCAAUGUUACUUUUGAACUGUUUUCUUGCAUAUCAUGCGUGCUUGCAUAUGAGUGUUCCUUGUUUGCUAUAUCACUUGAUUUAUUGGCUUGUUAUUAUUGAUUGAUAAUAUGUUAAGUGCUUUCAAUGAUUGUUAAAACGAGUUUUCUAGGCGAGUGUGUACUUUAUCGCACUCGAUCUAAAUAAAUAUGAAAUUUUCAAUGAUUAAUUAUUAAAUGCUAGUUGCGCAUGAAUGUAAGCCGUUUGGCUGAAUUGGGCCCUGCCCUUCGUUACCGAUCGACUCGAGCCAGAAGCGGACUCGGUCGGGCGAUAUGGUGACCCUGGGUGAAUUUGGUAUACUCGAGUAUUACCUUGUAGUCCGGCUACGUCCGGAUGGGUGGAGUCCGGCUACGUCCGGAUGGGUGGAAACCGGCCAACGUCCGGAAAAAAAAACGAUGAACAAAUAAAAGAUGAACGAGGGAUUAUUUAUAAAAAAAUGAACGUAUCCUUUUCAUGAAUGUUACUCUCGCUUUCCAUUGUACAUGUUUCUUGAAUUAUUGAUACUCCAUAUUUAAUGUUUUGUAAAUGCUGUAAUCGUUAUUGGACUUAUCAUUUGAUCUAUGACAUCAUUGAUUUAUGACAUCAUUGAAAAGAAAUAUUGGGUCUGUUUGGAUUGUAAGUUAUUUGGGAUUAUUUGAGAUAUUUUUACUGUAGCACUUUUUGUGAUGUGAUGUAUGUGAGAUAAAAAGAUAUUGGAAAGAUAAAAAGGUGUAUUGGAAAUUGUAAAGAUGAUGUAAGCAAAUAAAAUUGGGGAAAUAUGAAGCAAUCCAAACAAACCCAUUGUUAAAUCGAUUUGAUUACUGAUUUUCUGGUUACUCGCUGAGCUUUUAGCUCACCCCAAAAAUAUUUUAUUCCCCUCCACAGGGCUCAAGGCGAAGGCAGGACUUGUUGUGCUUAUUCACGUGAAUGGAUGGCCUAUAUCUUGUACAGUUUUGGAUUUGGAAUCAUUUGAUGUAUAGUUGGGAAUUAGUUUCCGCUGCAUUAGUGACAUGUAAUUAUUGGAGACUUGGAUGUAUAUUUGUGGAUCAUGUGAUGUAUAUUUGAGCUUUAUUCUUGUAAUUCAUUUGAGAACUUUAGUGAACGACUGAGUCCCGGCGAGAGCCGGGCAGGCGGCCCGCCGAACCCUCUGGUUCGCGUUAGGGGAAGGUGGGGCCGUCACACUUUUCGUUAAGCGAAACUCUUAUAUUUUGAACCCUACUUGCCUUCAAACUGUUAAACGGUAUUUUAUCGCUGAUUUGGACUCCAACCAGGGAGUUGAACAUGAGCGUGAUUUUGAAAAGCAAGUGUUUUCAAGUGCAUGAUUGAACUUGAUAUUUGAAAGAAAUUCUGGACUUGUUUGAAUGGGCAAGGGUGUACUUUAUCACACUUACUCUAAUGUGAUUUCUUUUUGUUUACUGGUUAUUAUUGACUUGAUAUACAUGUUUACAACUUGAAUACUACCUGAGAUCUUGUAUUUGACUUGUAAGUGUUGAGCGGUAGCAUGUACCACACUCAAUCCGAGUGGGAGGUGCCUCUCAUCCCGUCUCACUCCUUGGAUCCAGACCCUAUUGGUUAGUCAGUCGAAUCGAGCCAGUAAGAGAUUGGUCGAGGAAACUGGCGAAACAUAGGUACUACUGUCUAUUGUUUAUUGUAUAAUCCUUUGGAUUAGAUUCACUAGAUUCGAUAUACUCGACUAUUACCAUCACUCUUAUUUUGAAUUUCGGGUCCGGUAGGAGGUUGAUUGGUGGAUGGAAAUUGGUGUAAAGUAGAGAUCUACGGUCAUGGUUUAUUUCUUCAAAUGUUGACGGAGUGUUAACGGGUUCGGAUCAAAUAAUGCAACGGAAUUUUGGUUCUUGAGAGCCAUCUGUAUCUUACACUUUGAGAUGAUUAUUACUUGUAGUGUUAUUAUUUUUUUUUAAAAACUUUACACUCGCUUAUUUUGAGAUUUGCUACUUGAAGUAUUAUUGCUCACUUUUAUGAACUUUUAUACUUGCUACUUUGAUAUUGCAAGUUUUAUAUAAUGGUCAAUUUGCUAUUUGGAUUUGUCUGAAGUUUUGGAACCUCAUUGAGUUUUGACUCACUCUAUUAGAAUCUUUUGUUUUCCUUACAGGGGAUACGAGCGAGAGCGUGAAGCUGAUACAGGCUAGCAUAGUCUAUUUGUUUGAGAUUUUGGCAAUUGUACGCGCACUAGUGCUCGAUUAGGGUUGAAUGUAUUUGGAACUCAAAUCUUUUGUUAUAUUUGGGGAUUGUAUGAAUGAAUGAAUGUAAUUAUACGUUCUAAGAUUAGGAACUGUUGUUUCAUUUACUCUUGAGGUUGUAACUUAUUUUAUCAAAGUAAGUGAGUGAGUCCUGACGAGAGUUGGGCAGGCGGUUCGCUAAAUCCUAAGGUACGCCCUAGGGGGAGAUGGGGUCGUCACAGUGACAUUCAGGUAGGCAGUAUGAUAGAGAUUGAUGAGGUAGAGGAGCAGAAGCCAAAAAUGAUGAAACUUGGGGAGAUUCUACAAACACGACAAGGGGUGAUGGAGGCAAGCCUAGAAAAGCCUCCACAGUAUAAAUAAGAGUAGCGGCGUGGAACUGCCGAGAUGCUGGGAACCUCUUGGUAGUUCUCCAACUCAAGGAGGUUAUACGCCUCCACUCUCCAAAGUUAGUAUUUUUAUCAGAAACAAAAAAUCAAAAAAGAGUUCUGGAUGUUGUCAUGAAGCAAAUACGGUUUGAUAAUAAUGUAGUAGUAGAACCAGUAGGAAGAGCUGGUGGGCUAGCCAUGUUCUAGAAAAAUGAGGUCAAAGUUCUAAAGGUUGAUACCUCAGAAUGUUCAAUUGAAGUUAAAGUCUAUGAUGAGGAAGUAAGGGAAGAAUGGUGCUGUAUUGGAGUCUACACCAGUAUGAAUGAUACAACCAGAAGAGAUCAAUGGGAAUUUUUGGAAGAAUGAAUGAAGCUAUGGGGGGAUAAAUGGAUCUUGCUUGGGGAUUUCAAUGAUAUCAUAUCAAUUGAAGAAAAAUGAGGAGGAAGAACAGGACAUGAGGGUAGUUUUAGGUUUUUCAGAAAUUUUAUACUGAGAGCUAGCUUGAUAGACAUACAUUUUGAAGGCAAUCCAUGGACCUGGAGCAACUAAUGGGAGAAUGAGGGGAAAUUAGACAAAGGUUGGAUAGAUGCCUGAGUAGUGCAGGGUGGUUCCAGACUUUUGGGGAUGCAAUUUGCAAGCUUGUGGAAAAUGAAGCCUCUGAUCAUUCAAUGCUAGUGUUUAUUACUAUACCAGAUCAGAAGAAAAUGAGAAAGAGGUUUGUUUUUGACCAAAAUUGGGCUCAACACAAAGAGGUAGAAGAGGUAGUGAGGAAUGCUUGGGAAAAACCACAGAUGGGUUCAAGAAUGUUCAAAAUUAUUAGAAAAAUUAGAGUGCGCUAGAUAGCCCUUUUAAGUUGGAAUAGAAUGAAUAAACAAAAUGCAGCAACACAGAUCAUUGAGAUUAAGCAGAAGAUACAGGAGCUCAAAGAGUCUAAGGAUCAAUGGAAAAAAGGAAAAUGGUGGAACUGAAACUAAAGUUGAGCAGUGCUUACAAAGCUGAGGAAAUCUUCUGGGCACAAAAGGCAAGGAGCAGGUGGUUAAAGGAAGAGGACAAGAAUACAACCUACUUUCAUGCUUGUGUGAAGACAAGAAGGAAAAGAAAUAAGAUAACCAGCUUGUAGAAAGAAAAUGGAGAAUGGUGUACGGAUAACCAACAAAUCAUCGAGAAGAUUUGUAGGUACUAUGAAGACAUGUACACCACAUCUCAGCCAUAACAUAUGGAAGAAGUGCUAGAAGGGGUGCCUGUAUCAAUUACAAGCAGGCUAAAUCAGAAUUUGAUACAACCUGUGGAGGAAAAUGAGGUUAGAGCAGUUGUGUUCUCCAUGCACCCAAAUAAAGCACUUGGACCCGAUGGUAUGAUACCCUUUAUUCUUUCAAAGAUAUUGGCAUACUAUUAAAAUUGAUGUGGUGUCUGCUAUUCACUGCAUUUUGAGUAAUGGCCAUCUUUUGAAGAGUAUAAAUGAGACCGGUAUAACCCUCAUUCCUAAGGUAGAUAAUCCAAUAUCUCUGUCCAACUAUAGGCCAAUCAGUCUUUGUAAUGUGCUCUAUAGAAUCAUAGCAAAAAUUCUAGCCAAUAGAUUGAAAAGAGUUAUUGCCUUGUGCAUUAGCUAUUCUCAGUUAGCCUUUGGGCCUGGAAGACAGAUUGUGGAUAAUAUCAUUUUGGCCCAUGAAAUUAUGCAUUUUUUAAAAAGCAAAAGGAAGGGUAACACUUCUUUUAUGACCCUAAAACUUGACAUGUCAAAAGCUUAUGAUAGAGUGGAAUGAAAAAUUGUGGGCACAAUGAUGUUAAAAAUGGGUUUUUGUCCUAUUUUUGUAAGAUGGAUUAUGAGCUGCAUGUCAUCAGUGACCUGUUCGUUUAACUUGAAUGGGGAGAGGAUGGGGUAUGUGCAACCUAGUCGAGGUAUUACACAGAGGGACCCUUUAUCCCCUUUUCUCUUUUUGUUCUGUUAUGAAGGAUUGUCAAAUCUCAUGGCAAAGGCAAUUGAAAAUAGGCAGAUCACAGGACUCAAAAAAAGUAGAAAUGAACCUAUUCUAUUCCAUUUAUUCUUUGUAGAUGAUUCCUUAUUUUGCUGUAAAGCAUACCCACAGGAAGCUAGAGCCAUGCAAAGGAUUCUUACAAAGUACGAGUUAGUCUCAGGACAGUACAUCAACUAUAAGAAGUCUGCUGCUUUUUUUAGCAGAAAUUGUAGCAGACAACAAAGGAGACAGACUUGUGAGCAGAUGAACAACAUCAAAGAGGCAAAUAGUGGCAAAUACUUGGGACUUCCCCUAGUGAUAACAGGAUCAAAAAAGCAAGUCUUCACCUACAUUGUUGAUAAAGGAAGAUCCAAAAUGCAAGAAUGGAAACACAAUCUACUCAGCUAUGCAGGGAAAGAGGUACUUCUGAAGUCAGUCAUUAUGGCAUUACCCACUUACACAAUGUCAUACUACAGGUUACCUAAAGGACUGUGUGCAGAAAUAUGUGGCCAUAUGGCAAAAUUCUGGAGAGGCCAAAAUGAAGAGAAAAGAAAGAUGCAAUGGAUAAGUAAGGAGAAAAUCACACAGGUGAAAGGAAAUGGAGGCCUGGGAUUUAGAGAUCUAGAGCACUUUAAUAGUGCUUUGUUAGCAAAGCAACUGUGGAGACUAUUACUGUAGCCAGAGUUAUUAGUGAGUAAGGUGCUGGGAGCGAAAUACGAACUAUCGCAAAUAGACUAGGAAGGAGAAGCUUCAAGGAAUACAUCUUGGGUAUGGCGAAGUAUAUAUAGUUCUUGCUCGCUACUGCAAAAGGGAAUAUGAAAGAGAGUGGGAGAUGGGACUACUAUAAACAUUUGGAGGGACAAAUGGCUCAUGGGAUCAUCAACUGGGAAAAUAGCAACACAGAAACCUCCAGCGUGUAGACUACAAACAGUGGCUGAUUUGAUAAAAGAGAGAGAAUGGAAUAAGGAACUAAUUGAAGAGACUUUCUCAGAGGAGGAAGCUUCACAAAUCUUACAGAUGCCCCUAAGUUUGUUUCCCAGGAAGGAUAUGGUCUACUGGAAAUACUCAAAAUCAGGAACAUACACAGUGAAGUCUGGAUAUAUAGUAGAAAUGAAGGAGGUAAGCCAAAGGAGAAAGGAGAAUCAAAAUGAGGGAGAAACCAGCUAUGCACAACAUAAGCAAAAAGUGUGAAAAAGCUUGAGGGAGUUAAAGAUGAAGCCAAAGAUUAAACAUUUCAUAUGGAGAUGCUUACACAAUGACAUUCCUGUGAAUGAGAUGAUACACAAAAGAAUAGGAAAGGCUCUCUAUUAUGCAAAUGUUGUGGUGAAUGGGAGGAAACAGUGGAACAUAUGAUCUUUUUUUUGCAGCAAUGUUGAACCUAUAUGGAAACUAGCCCCAAUACAGUGGGAUGGAAUUGCUCGGCAGUAUGAAGCGAAGUAUAGAGAUCAUAUGUCCAUCUUGGACAAUGCAUAAAAUGAAUGGCUGGAAUUUCAAGAGGAGCAUUUGGACAAUGAUGAAAAGCACAAGACAUGAACAAGUUAUCAAAUGCAAAACCACCAAUGGAGGCCAGCAGAUGCAGGCAUAGUGAAGAUCAACACUAAUGCCAUUGUCUCUACUAAAGAAGCAAGAGUAGGGUUAGGAAUGAUAGCAAGAGACAGUUAUGGAAACCUUGUUGAAGCAAGAGGUAUCAGAAAGUAUAGCAGCUGCGGAGCUAAAAUAGAAGAGGCAGAGGCAAUCCGACAGGGACUGAUAAUGGUUAGCGAAGCUGGGUGGCAAAGAAUAGAGAUGCAAUCUGAUUGCAAAGCUGCCAUUGAGAAAAUCCAAAAGAGAGGCAUGGAGGAAGCGCCAAUAGUCACCAUACUGGAAGAUAUAAGACAAUUGAGUGACAUGUUCCAGUACUGUACUUUUUCUUUUGUUUAUAGAGAUGGAAAUAGAUAUGCUCAUAAAAUGGCACAAUUUGCAACUAAACUUGUUUCCAAUGUAAUAUGGAAACAAAGUUUCCCUCUGUGGCUCAAAGAGAGUAUACAGGAGGAUAAUAGGAUAAAUAUCCACUUUUGUAACUGAGAUCUUGUAUUAUCAAGUUCAAUAUAUAUACAAGAGAAUACCGUUUGAAAAAAAAAGAUAAAAGUACAACCGAAGAGGUUCCACAUCUUGAAUAAGAGGUAAAAAGGACUAUCCUGCCAGGCGGGCCUCUACGAAAGUGGAAACCAAGUGGCUGUAAGCUUAUUCACUUUCUAGAAAGAAAGACAUGGUACUCUGUACUAGGUAAUCUAGCAAAAAAAAAAAAACUAUGGUUUAAGCAUAUCUGUUGGUUUCAGUGUCUACAAUUUCAAUUUCUUUGGGAUCUGUAGCCAUUUCCCGUAUUAGCUACCUUUUGACUUCUUUCAAUGGUGCAUUACUGCAAGAAAUUCAAUGUUCCAUUUGAGGCCAUAGCAAAGAAAUGGGAAACCAUCCUACUGGAGGAUCAAAAGAUUUACAGAAGUGAAACAAUUGUAGUUAAUUGCUUGUGCAGGCUAAGACAUGUUCCCAACGAGACAACAGAAGACAGCACUGCGAGAGACGAUGUUCUGACGUUGAUCAUGGAGAUAAAUCCUAUUUUUUUGUCCAUGGAGUCAUUAGUGGGACAUAGAUUGCCCCAUUUUUCAUCACCCGCUUCCAAAAAGCGCUGCAUCAUUUCUCUCUCUGUUUGACAUGUUUGAGAAAACUUUAGCACAUAUUGAUCAAGGCAGAAUAAUGUUUAAGAAAGAAGUUCUUGGAAGGGAUGCCAUGAAUGUUGUAGCAUGUGAUGUAGGAGUGGCAAUUUCUAAUACGACAUGAAUUUAACAUGAAAUUAAUGGGGUUUACAUUGAGCCUUGGUAGGUUCGGAUAGAAAUUGGGUCAGACCCAUUAGACCUGAAAAAAAUCAGGUAGAGUCAAAGUCAAUCACGGGAUGAUCUGGUUAAUCCGUUUAUGAAUUAAAAAUAAUUUAAUAAAUACAAAAUAUUUUAUCUAACUUAUUAACUAUUUUCUAUUUUUCUUGAACAAAUCCUGAAAUAUCCUUAUACCCUAAACUUUAAUUUGAUCGUUUUCACUUUUCAAUUUUCAUAACUUUACUCUUUGUCUUCACUUGGCGCCGCAUUUCACGACUCACUACUCACUAGCAGAGCUGAUCAGCAAGGUAGAACUUUGAAACCCCCGAGCAAGGGUGAUUAUUCUAAUCCUUUUCCGAGCUUAACUUCUGCCUUUUGAUUUCUAAACUUGUGUUGUGUGGCUUCUCUUUGAAGUCUAAAUGACCGGCGAUGGGUCCUCCUACUCUUUCUUAAGUGUCAACAUUGAUGGACUCUAGAAGAAUUCAAAUUUUAGAUUGAUUAUCGAAGAAGCUUAAAUAUUUAUGUGCUUCUCAUCUUUUUUUUUUUUCAGUGAUGUUGGAGUCCCAUAGAUGAAUUGAUGAAGUCAUAGCAGGCAUAUUUGUAUUCUAAUGGCUUAAGCUAAACAUUCUUGAUUUGCUUCACCUCAUGCAUUUUUUUGAAAAUCAUAUAAAAUUGGAAUGGAAAUUUGUUUUAUUUUGAUUUUUGCUAGAGAUUUUGAAGAGGCUUUUUGGAAUCAUAAAUAUCCCGUAAUUCAUGAUUGGUUAUAAACAUACAAUGUCAUUCAAUAUUUGCCUUCUUAAUUUGUUGGGCUAUACACAACCUUGUUUGAUUAAGAUUUGUAGAGAUGGAUUUGCUACUGAAGUCAAAAGUUAGAGAAUCAAAUGAUGCCACUAUCUCAAUGUCUCAAUGUUUAGUGGUUGUCUACCUACCCAAAGUGAGUAGUCUGAUUAUUGUGGUUGCAAGCAUUACUCACAGGCUAUUAAGCUAUCAAAUUAUUUGUGAAUGCAUCAUCUUUCAAAUUUUUUGUUUGUAUUAAGAGAAAAUUUAACCUGAAUUGACAAUGACAUGUAUAUUUAUUUAUUGGUUAACAGAUGAAUGAAAGUAAUCCAAAUGCAAAUCUAGUUGAGGUUGAUGAUGAUAGUGGUAGUGACAAUAGCAUUGAAGAGACAAUGGAAAUGAAUCAGUUUCAAUGUCCAGGCCCUACUUUCAAAAGGAACAAAAAGGAGAAAGCUAACUUCUAAAGUUGGGGAUUACUUUACCAUCUUGGCUCCAAAACCGAAUGAGGAAUUGAAGUGCGAAUGCAACAAAUGUAAGCACAUCUAUUCUACAUAGAGUAAAAAUGGGACAAGUAACCUUAUUUGACAAAUAAAAAAAUGUCAGAAAAUGACAACUAAAGAUAUCGGUCAAUAUCUUCUUACUGCUAAUCAAGGUGCUUUGUCCACAAGAAAUUCUAGUUUAGUCAAGAGAAAUUUGAAGAUUAAUGAUGCAUGAAAUCAUCAGACAUGAGUUGCCAUUUUCAUUUGUUAAAUAUGAGGGAAUUAGAAAUGUUUGUUUCAAGUUAAACAUGUUACUAGGAACACUGCAAAGGUAGAUAUAAAAAAGUUUCAUGCUAAAGAAAUUGAUAGGCUUUGGGCUGAAUUAUAGUUAUGUCCUAGUUGAAUUUCUUUGACUUUUAAUACAUGAAACUCCAUAGUUAUUGAUGGGUACUUGAGUUUGAUAGUACACUUUGUUGAUAAUAUUUGGGUGCCGCAAAAAAAAAUCUGAUUUUUUUCUUAUGAGCCUCCUCCUUAGAGUGGAGUUGCUCUAGUAGAAAAAAUUUAUAGUUUGGCUAGUGAUUGGCGCAUUGAAAAGAAAUUGUUCACCAUCGCUUUGGAUAAUGCUUUUGCAAAUGAUUCUUGUGUUCAAAUACUUAAGAAUCAGUUUAGGUUGAAAGGUGCUUUGAUGGAUGAUGGCAUUUUAUUUCAUGUGAGGUGUUGUGCUCAUAGUCUAAAUCUAAUUGUGCAAGAUGGUUUGAAAGAAAUUCAUGUCUCAAUGGAUAGAAUAAGGGAAUGUGUAAAAUAUGUGAAGAGCUCUCAAGUGAGAAAAGUAGAGUUUACUAAAUAUAUAGCACAAACAUCCCUUGAUUCUAAAAAAGCCUUAGUUCAAAAUGUCCAACUACAUGGAGUUCCACUUUUAAGAUAUUCUCAAGUGUCUUUAUUAUUAUCUUGCCUUUUGUCGCUUGCAAUUAAGUGAUUCCAAUUUUCGAUGUUGUCCAUCUUUAGAAGAGUGGGAAAGAGUUGAAAAGAUUUACAAUUUUUUAGAAAUUUUUUAUGAUGCAACUAUUGCCUUCUCAGGAUCUAAGCAUCCAACUGCUAACUUGUACUUUCCUCAAAUUUUUCUGAAUCAAUUAAAGUUGUUUGAGGAGUGUAGCAAUUCUAAUGGCUUUAGAUGUUUGUGAAAUUCAACAAAUAUUAAUUUGAGUUCAAUAUUUUGUUAGCUAUUGCUAUGGUAUUUGAUCCUAGAUACAAAUUUCAGCUUCUUGUGUUUAGCCAUCAAAAGUUAUAUGGUUAGGGAUACACUUUGUAGUCUUUUCAAUGAAUAAGUUAGAGCUAGUAAGACAAUUCAGCCAUCAUCUUCCUAUUCUUGGGGUAGCAAUGAGAUGAAUGAGAUCUCUUUUGAUGUAGCAGAAGCAUAAGAAAAAAAAAUUAGUGAAUGUUUUCAAGGUGUGAUGAUAAUAUUUUUUAGUAUUAUUGAUUAUUAGUUUAUAUACUCCCAUGUAGUUUUAAAAAUGUUAUGUUCUCAUUUUGAUGUCUGUUAUAUCUCUCUUUCAAUGUCAUGAUCAUAGGAAUUUGAUGAAUUUGAUAGUUUUGAAUUUACCAGUGGUGCACAAAAAACUCAAUUAGAAUGUUUCUAGAUGAGACAAGAAGUAAAAGAAAAUCUGAGAUUCAUGUUCUUGACUAUUGGAAGGCUCAACAAUAUCAAUUUCCAGAUCUAGCAAAAUUAGCUAGAGAUAUCUUAUGUGUUCUUGUAUCAACUAUUGUAUCAGAAUCUGCUUUUAGCCUUGGUGGUAGGAAUCCAGACCAAUUUCAUAGUUCAUUGUCACCACUAAUUGUUGAAGCUUUAGUAUGCACCAAAGAUUGGUUGUUUGGGGACAAAUGUAUAAUUAGUAAAUUAAUGCUUCCUAAUAUCUACUUUGUUUCUUUAGUAUUUUAUACUUAUUUUAUUUUUUUCAUCUUAUUUAUAUAGAGAUGAUAGAUUUGAGGCUAGAGGACAUAACUCAAGACAUCAUGUCUUUACAUAUAUCAAAAGAUGAUGCACAAUUUGUUGAAAAUCAAACUCUAAUGUGGUCAACCUCUAUGUCAUUGAGCUGGUGAGUUAAAAGUUAUAACAUAAUAUGUUUUAUUGCACCUAUAUGUAACAACAUUAAUACUUUGAUAUCUGUACCUAUUGCAAGUUGCUUAAAAAAGUGCUUGCAUCCCUUGAUUUAGUAAAGGUUGGAAGUUGGAAGAGGAAUAUCAAUUUGACUGCUUGAGCUUGGAACCUUGGACCAGUUAUUCUAUUUUAGUUUCAUGUUUAUUUUGUUGCUAUUUAGUGUUUAUGGCUUGUAGCCAUUUGGAUUUGAUGAUGAUAUUAGGAGUUGGGACUUGUGCUUAUCAGCUUAUGUUAUGUCUUUUAUGGCUUGUAGUCAUUUGGAUUUGGAUUACAUUUGGUGAAUGCCUUUUGCGUAUGAUUGCUUGGAAUGGAUUUCUGAUUUCCAUUGGGCAAUUGACAUUGCAGAUUAUUAUAGGUAAUUAAACUGAUUUGUAGUUAUAUGCUUCUAUUUUAGGUGAUCAAUUAAUCAUUAAUAAGGUAGGUUGAAACAGGUCAGGUUUACGUGACCCCCAAAAAUUGCGAUUUGUGUUCAAGACAAGGAACCUGACCUGAUAAAAUAAAUGGGUUUGUUCGGUUGACGACUUUUCUAAAAUACCUGUGUCUUAACCUAACCCACCAACCCGUGAUUCGACCUGAUUACUACCCUUGUGAAGGUAUUGAAAGGAUUGAAAGGCCAGAAACAUACAAGUUGUUCAUGCUUAUUUUAGUGGCCAGUGAACCAAUGCUAAUGUCGUGAUUGUUGUGACCAUGCCACCUAGUUAACACCACAAAAAUGAUAGAAAUGAAUUGAUAUCGGUAAAAAAGAGUGCUUACCGAUAUUCUAUAACAUCUAGACCAAAGUUACCUGUUCUACCUUGAACAACCUCGAGAACGUAAAAUCUAUGACAAAGUAAUCGAUCAAAGAAGAAAUGAGAGGAAAGGCUAAUUUGUAACUGAAAGCUAACAAAUUUCUUAAUAUGAAAUCAACAACUACUUGGAAUGAUACAGAGUGCAUAAGAAUUAUAUAGAUUGCUUGAGAAUAAGAAACUUGCUUGGAAUUCAAAGGAAACUGCUUUGGAAUUCAAUUAUAAAGAAAUUUAUAGAACCUGAUCUUGAUUGAAAGCAUGAAAAUGAUGAGUUGGUAGAAAAGGAAAUGUUUGUAAGAAAAUUGGAAAUCCUAUCUCUAGCCUAAAAACUUCUAAGAAAGCUUGCUAAAAAAAAGAGCAUUUUUCUAAAGAUAUUGUCUUUGAUUUGGAUGUUGUUGGAGAAGUCCUCAAUCCAGUCUCUCUUCUAAUAUUUGUAGUAUUAACGAUCACUUUGCCAUCUACUGACAAACUCACUUCUACUUUUAACACCUUACUAUCAAGUGCAACUACCUAUCAUGUCAACUCUAUCAGGCUGAUCAUGAGUAACGAUAAUUGCCCACUCCAAUGUAUUUAGGAUAAUGUAACUGUAAUAUCCCUACUUUGUAGGGCCAAUAUCUAAUCCUCAUAUCUUUCUUCGCCAACCGCUGUCAUUGACCCUAUCUCUCAUCGACACUUGAUCAAUCUCUUAUGACUUGGUCAAACUUUCAAAAAGGAAGAGCUAAUGUAAAGAAGAGAUUAGAUAGGGCAACAUGUAAUGAAUGAUGGAGGAUUAACUUCCCUGAAACUUGUAUUCACCACCUUCCAUGCACCCACUUUGACCACCACCCAGUGUGGGUAACUCUAAUAGGGGUAAUAGUGGGGAAAGGCCAAGGCAAUUCCACCUAGAUAUGGCAUGGACUACUCAUCUUACCUUUUAAAAUAUGAUUAAGUCCGUAUGGAAGUCAGAUAAGAAGAUGUGGGAUAAUAUAUCUAACUUCUAGGAAAAAGCUCAACACUAGAGCAUAGAGGUUUUUGGGAACAUAUUUCAAAGGAAGAGGAGAUGCUUAGCAAGGAUUGAAGGCAUCCAAAAGUCACUAGCACUAAAACAUAACCCUUACUUGGAGAAACUAGAGAUGGAUCAUGUUAAGUAGUAUAACUAGAUUCUGGAACAAGAAGAACUUUUGUGUUUUCAAAAUCAAGAGUGAAUUGGCUGAACUGGUGAGAGAAAUACAUGUUACUUCCAGACCUCAAAGUGAUAAGAAGAUGGAGAAAACAUGUGGAUUGUCUGAAGGAUGAUCAAGUGAAGUGGCAAGAAGUCUAGAAAAGCACUUAAAGCCAUGGUGGUGAAAUUUUAUAAAGACUUGUUUUGUAUGGAAUGAGAUACCAUGAAUGAUUUUAGUUGCUCAGUCAAAUUUCCAAGAGCAGAGGAAAGAGAUUUGAGAUCAGUGAUUAGACAAGUAUGUUUAAAAGAAGUUAAACAAGCCUUGUUAGUGCCUUCAUAUUCCAAAAGGGAUUGGAGAUCGUUAAGGAAAGCCUUGUAAAAUUUGUCAAAGAUGCUUUCUUCUAAAAGGCAGUGCCAUCCCAAGUUAAUGACACCAUCAUAUCCCUUAUUCCCAAAGUUGAGAACCUAGAGAGGGUGACCCAAUUUUGACCUAUUUCCCUAUAUAACAUUUCAUAUAAAGCGAUCACUAAAAUUUUAGUCCAGAGGAUCAGGUUGCUAAUGACUAAAAUAGUUGGCCAGAAUAAUGUAGGUUCAUCCCAGGACGAUAGUCCUUAGAUAAUGUGAUAAUCCUACAGGAGAUAGUCCACUCGGCUAAGAGGAAGGAGAAAAAGGAGUGAUGAUCAUCAAAGUGGAUUUAGAGAAAGCAUAUGACUGGAUAAGCUAGAAAUUCUUUCAUAACAUACUAGAAAAGUUUGGUUUUUCAAAUGAGACAGUGAAACUAAUUAUGAGUUGUGUGUAGGGAAAUAGAGCAAUCACUCCCAGAAGAGGACUCAGAUAAGGAGAUCCUCUUUUAUUAUCCUGUGCAUGGAGAGGCUGAGUCACCUGAUAACCGAAGCAGUUCACCAAGAGAAAUGGAAACUUGUGAGGACAACAAGAAUUUCUCAUCUUAUGUGCUAAUGACUUGAUUCUUUUUGCCGAAGCAUCAAAGGAACAAGCAACGGUAAUUAGGAAGGUGCUAGAAAACUUCUGUGCAAUCUCAGGCCAAAAAGUCAACAUGGUAAAAUCCAAAAUAUUCUGCUCAGGAAAUACUCCCAGAGAGUUGGCUAGGAGAAUAAGUAAAAUGACAAAAGUUUCCUUAACAACUAAUCUAGGUGUGCUAGCCUUACACGAGAAAGAAACUCAGGCCACUUACAUAGAGAUGCUGGACAAAAUUCAUGCAGGGUUAGCGGGGUUGAAGAGAAAUUGUCUUGCCUAUAUGGCUAGAGUCACUCUUAUUAAGUCGGCAUUAGCUGUUAUCCCAAAUUAUAUGAUGCCGACUGUUAAAUUACCAAACCUAUUGGUUGAAAAAAUGGAGAAAUUUUCAAGGGGAUUCCCCUGGGGUGAUUCCAAGGAUGGUAGGAAACUUUGGCUAUUUGGAUUGGGAUAAAGUUGCAUAGCCCAGGGUAUUUGGAGGUCUAGGAAAAAGAAGAAUUAAAGCGGAAAAUAAAGCUUCACUUGCCAAGCUGAGCUAGGGAUAUCACAGGAACAAAAAUGAAUUAUGGAUAAGGGUGCUAUAGUCAAAGUACAAAAGUAGAAUAGAAGAUAUUUUAUUACCGAAGAAGGUAGAGAAAUCCCAAGUUUGGAGGGGUAUUAGAUUCGGGAGCGAAUUAGUAGCUUCAGGGGCAAAAUGGACACUAGAGAAUGGACAAAUCAUUAGCUUCUAGAUAGAUAAAUGGGUAGGAGAUAGCAAUUUGGAGGAGGAAGUUGUUGUUGAAAUACCCAAAGAGGAAAGAAAGAAAAAGGCGGUGGAGUAUUGGGAGGAAGUGAGAGGAUGGAAAUUCAAUAUUAUCUCCAAAUUUCUGCCAACCGAGACUAUAUUAAAGUUGUUAUCUAUUAGGGUUGAUGAGAAAGGGAAUAACAUGGAUAUAGUAAGCUGGGGAAAAGAAAAUAAUGGAGCUUUCACCACGACAUCGACAUAUGAUUAUGGACGAAAAUGAAGACAGAAACUAGAAUAAACUGUGGAAGCUCAAGGGACCUAGAAGAUGGAAAUUCCUACUUUGGCUUGUAAGGCAUGAGAGGCUCAUCACCAAUGGCAAAAAGUAUAGAAGACACCUCCACCCCUUUGGUAGGUGUCCAGUUUGCAAAAUCAGCAUUUAAGUCCACUUUGCAUAUGCUUCGGAACUGUAGCUGGGCAAACAAGAUUUGGGAUCAGCUGGUGGAUAAAAGACAUUGGUUACAAUUUAAUGAGUUAAAUCUACUAAAAUAGGUGGACUGGAACAUCAAAGAAAUGGAGAUUGGGAGGAAUAAGGAAAUGAGUUGGUAGCUGACUUUCCAAUAGGUGGUGUACCAUAUAUGGUUUGGAAGAAAUGAGGUGAACAUCAAAGGGAAGGAGAAGUGAAUUAAAAUGCCAACAGUGCAUCUAUUGGCCCAAAUUCAAGGAACGCAAGAAGUGCUGCUGAUUGACCUAGAAAUUAAGAAUGGAAUUGAGGUGCAUUAAUUGGGUGAAACCACUACCCAAGUGGAUAAAAGUCAAUAUGGAUGAAACAACUGAAUGGAACUUGGGCAUAGCAGGAGCAGGUGAACUUAUCAAAGACAAGUCUUGAAAAUGGAAGCAAGGAUUUUGUAUAAACCUGAGAAAUGCCACAAAUGUGAAUGUCGAGUUAUGGGAUAUGUUAAUUGGGUUGGAAAAAGCAUGAGAAGCAGCCUAUUGGAAAUUGUUCCUUGAAUCAAAUUCUCUAACAAGCUUCUUACUAGUAAGAGAUGGAAACAAUAAUAGUCCUCACUUCAAUCUUAUCAAAGCAGAUAAAAAACUGGAGGGAUAAGCAUUGGAAGUGUAAGAUCCAACAUGUUUGGAGGGAAGGAAAUACAUGUGUGGAUAGCUUGGCCAAACUCAACUUGAAAAGCAUCCCAGGAAUGCAAAAUUAUGAGGAAACUGCAGAAAUAGUUAGGAGACUUUUGAUUAAUGAUGUAGCCAGGGUAGUAACCCCCCAUUUAGUUCCCGUGUAAAGGGCUUGUGGUCUUCCACAUAACCAAAAAAAAAAAAAAAAAUUCCACUACCACAUCAGCCUAUUUCAUAUUAGUGGUUACAUACAUGAGUGGACAUGUAUUGACGCACCUUUGCAUAAGUUCAGUCAUCACUGCCAAUUUUUAGUGUAUCCUUUACUAAUUGGCCCUGUUCUAAUGCCACUACUGAUAAAACACUUGGUUGCCAAUUUAUAAAGACUAGCUACUUAUUGCACCAUCCAAUGACCUUUGUCUAUUGCAAUUGAUACUCUCUUCAAUAUAAAGCCAAUUGUUCAAUUACCGAUGAUUUGUACAUAUUACACCAAUACAAGUAAUGGCAAGCUAGGAUGUAGAGGGCUGGUUUUUCUUAGCUCCCACUGAACCAAGAUAUUUUGAGAGAAGUAAGGGCCAAGGUGAGGUUGCAAUACCAUAAAUAUUUUCUAAUUGAUAAAGAUUGCAACUAGAUACUACAAGGUUGGAAGGGAUUUUACUAUGACAUUGCUCUCCUUGCAAAAAUCAUCAAGUACCCAUAUAUGGUGUUUGUGUUAUUGAAAUCACCUGUCAUGUCUGCAUCGGUGUACCCAACUAGCAUGCUCUCUUACCAAUGUCGAAACAUAAACACAAUUUAAAAGUUCUCUUGAGAUACCUGAGAAUCCACUUGAUAGCAUUCCAAUGCUCCUUACAAUGAUUGGAAAAAUAUCGAUUGACUUCUCCAACUACAUGAGUAAUAUCUGAUUUGAUGUAAAUCAUAGCAUAUAUCAAAUUGCCAAUAGCCGACUCAUAAGGGACCUUUUUCAUCUCUUUCUUGUAUUUCUCAUUUGUAGGACACUGCUUAAUAUAUAGUUUAAAGUUACUAGCAAGUAGAGUAGAGAAUUUCUUAGCUUUACUCUAAAUCUAUCAAGUACCUUUUCAAUCUACUUAUCCUGAAACAACCAAAGCUUUCCAUUUUGCCUAUUCCGAGAGAUUUUCAUCCUAAGAAUCUAUCUAGUUGGACUCAAAUCUUUCAUUGCAAAUGUAAUGACCCCAUAUCCCCCUAGGGCAUACCCCAGGAUUUAGCAGACCCCCUGCUAGUUCUUGCUAGGACUCACUCACUCAUUUCAAAUAAAAUAGUUUACAACCUCAAGAGUAAAUGAAAUAAUAGUUCCCAAGUAUAACAAAAGAUUUGAGUUCCAGAUAUAUUCAACUCUAAUCGAGCACUAGUGCGCGUACAAUUGUCAAAAAUUCAAAAACUAGCUAGUUUGUACCGGCUCACACUGUUGCUCGUACCCCCUGUAAGGAAAAUAAAUUUAAUGAAAUAGAGUGAGUUAAAGGUCAGUGAGGUCCCAAAUACCAAGUUGACUAUUAUUUAAAAGUGCAAGUAUCAAAGUAGCAAAGUAGCAAGCAUAACAAGUUAAGAAUUGAACCCAAGUAGCGAGUUGACCAUAUGUAAAAUGUGAACUCUUAAAAUGAGCAAGUGUAAAAGUUCUUAAAAGAAAUAAUAACACGACAAGUAAUAAUCAUUUCAAAGUAUAAGGAUACGGAUGGCUCUCAAGAGCCAAAUUCCCAUUGCUUCACCAGAGCUUGAUCAAGUAGUAGUUGACACUCCGUCAACUUUCAAGUAAAAUAACUAAUCCAGUAAAGCACCACUUAACUACUAUCUCCGUCCUCCAUUCAAACCCCCUACCAGGCCCAAAAUUCUCAAUAAACAUGAGUGGUAAUACUCUGGCAUACCGAUUAGUUGAGGAGAUAAUACUCCACACAACAAAACAAGAGACCCAGGAUUCGUUACCCAAUAAACCAAGCCCUUACCGGUUCGACUCGAGUAACUAGCCACAAGGUUUCUGGAAUUCCAGGGAGUGCGCGUAUCAUACAGAAGUAUCUCAAAUCAAUUGCAACAAAUAAACAAGCAUAUAUCACAUUAAAGCAAGUGCGAUAAAGUACACUCUUGCCCGACCAAACCAAUCAAAUAUCAAGUAUUUAAAUCAAGUAUCAAGUUCAAUCAUGCAUUUGGAAGCACUCACCAAAGACUUAGUGCUUGUCAAAAUCACGCUCAGGUACAACUCCUUAGUUGGAGUCCAAAGCUACGAUAAAAUAUCAUUUACAAGUUUAAAAUCCACUAGGGUUCGAAACAUAAGAGUUUCAUUUCAAGAAAAUCAAGUAAAUGAAACUUGUUUAAGUAGUAGUCAUAUGACUUAUCAAACUUGAGAAAAUUCAUGCUCGCUUUUUUAGUUUCGAUAAAAAAGUGAUUCAUACUUUUGAAGUCGCACUUGGUAUAAAAGAUCGAGAAAAUCGUAUUUUCAAGGGUCACUACUUUUAUUUUUUUUCAAGGGCAUGAGUUUCGGCAAAAUUUCAGGUUAUAUACCUCUACUAAAGAAAACUCGAAUACCUUAGACGAUCCAAGUUCAAUUCGACCUCAAAUCCUCAAGCAAGUUGCGAGUACAUACGCCUAACCCUCGAGUGAUAAUUUGGGCAGCGUGCCCUUUGUAUUUAGCUAUUUUCCAACCACUUAGGGCUUCAUUUCUUUCCCCAACUCAGCCCAAAUUCAACAUAUAAGCAAUCUUAACAAGAUAGCUCUUCAAUUAAGCUUAAUAUCAUUCAAAGACAAGUCAAUUCUAACAAUGAAACCAUCAAGAUCAAAGCUGGAAACCAGUUUUAAAGAAGAAAUUAUAAAUGGCAAAUUUGUCAUCCUUCGGUGUUUUGGUCAUAAUUGCAGCUAGGUAUAUCGGAUCGAGGUAAAUUUUAUGAAGUUUCGAAGCUAAGAGAUAGAUCUAAAUUUAUUAUGGAGACCUCCAAAGCCAAAUCAUGCCUUUUCAUGGUAAAAAAUUGAAAUCUCAGAGAAAAUAGAAAGCUGUCGGUUAAAUAGGACAUUUGGGCAGUCAAGGGUAUUUUAUUCAUUUUAUAAGAUACAGUACUCUGAUUAAGUUGAAAUUUUGUGAGUAGAAAGAUAACUCAAAUACCUACAAUUUUCAUGUUUUUGAGUAAGAACUGAUUUGGCCUUUAUCAUAGAAGAAUAUGCAGUUCAAGUUGAUUUCAAAAAUAGGGCAGAACCUAUCAAAUGCUGGAAAUGCAACUUUUAACUCUACAAAGUCACAAUCAAGCCCGUAAUCACUUCACAAGUUCCAUUUCCUAGCUUAAUAGCACCAUUUGAUAGUUAAACAACAUAAUCAUGGCUAGAAAAUAUAAAACUCUAGCUGAAAUUUUCACUACACAACUCAAAACUAAAAAAUCAUCCAUCAUAUGCCAAGAUUAAAAGCUUUUAUAGCAUAUUUAGUAAGAUUAAGAAAGAUAGAGGCAGUGGAUCAUCUUAUACCUUCCAAUACUUGUUGCUAAGUGAAGAACCAAGCUAUUUCUUCCAAAAUUUUCACCACACCAAGCUUCCUAAGCUACUUAAGCACCAAAAUGAAGGUUUAAUUGAUUUAGUUUUUUGGUUUCAACUCAAACAAGCAAGAUCCAGGUGGAAAUGAAAAGUUUCUCCUCUCUUGUUUUUCUCUCCAAGAAUUUUGACCAACAUGAAGGAAAAUGAAGAAAAAUGAGCCAAAAGGAAAGAUAAGAAAAAAGGAAAAUGUCUUGGUCAAACUUCCAUGGAUUUCCAACACUUGUCAUUUUAAGAUCUUUUCUUUGUUUUUGUUUCUUUUCUUCCUUUUCUUUAGUCAAUAAUGGUGGCUGACUUAAGGGUUAAUUUAGGGAAGAUUAGGUGAAAUAAAAGCAAGGAGAUUAUGGUAAGAAAGUAGUGGUCAAGUGGUGUACUUAAUCGAUAGCAAACGGUACAUGUCGGUUCAAUCCUAUUUUCCUUAAUUCUCUUGUACUUGUGUUUUAACUUAUGAUUCACUAACUUAUUAUUAGCAUUUCUAAUCACACACUUCCUCUUAUGUAAUACUCACUUUUAUCUACCAAAUUUAGUACACAUAUCUCACCAAGUGAUCAUACGGCCAAAAUGCACAAAAACCCUAAUUUACGCUAACUAUAAAAGUAAAGGUAAACUCUCGAUUCCAGCAUAUAUUACACCUAUCGAGAGAGUAAAAUUUAUAGAAAAAGGAAUUUAUAAAUUAAAUUAUUUAAAAUAAGAGGGAAUUACAACAAAAAUAUAGGUGAAUUUUUAAGUCGUCACAGCUAAGGGUUUACUUAAUUCCUUUUUUAACCUAUGAAUCUUCAUAGCAUCAUGGCUAACAAUCAACAUGUCAUCAAUAUACAGUAAGAGAAUAAUAAAAUCACUAUUAGAAAAAUUCUUGAUGAAGACAUAAUGAUCAGAUGUAAUCAUGUGGUACUCGUGAUCCAUCAUGAAUGAGUCAAACUUCUUGUAUCACUGCCUUUGCACUUGUUUCAAUUCAUACAAAUUCUUUCUUAGAAGACAUACAAGGUUCUCUUUGCCACUUUCUUUGAACCCCCCUAGUUGCUCAAUAUAAAUUUCUUUUUCCAAAUCACCAUAUAAGAGCCUGUCUUCACGUCAAAUUGCUCAAUCUUCAAAUUCAAGUUGGCUGCAAUACCAACAACAACUUGGAUUCAUGACAUCUUUACCAUAUGAGAGAAAAUUUUUUCAAAAUCUAUACCUUUCUUCCGAUUGAACCCUUUCACAACCAAUCUUGCCUGUGAGCUAUGCUAUUAAGUUUUCAACCUGUAAACCUAUUUAUUUUUCAAUGCUCUCUUGCCCUUAGGCAGUUUCACCAGAUCAUAGGUGUAAUUCUUAUGUAAGAAUAUCAACUUCUUUUGCAUAUCUUGUAACCGGUCUUUUUUUCUCUCAUGCAUAUCUUGUAACCAGUCUCAUUGUAGAAUUUUGGUUCCCCUCCAUCUGUCAGAAACACAUAUUCAUUAAGAUUAUAUUUAUUAGAAGGUCUUCUCUCUCUAAUAGAUCUCCUAGACACAUCUUGUGGUGGUGAUGGAGCUAGUGGUGUCUCUUGUUCAAAUUCAUCAAUAGCAGUAUUAUUACUAUCAAUAGCCUCUCUCUGUUCUAUCUCAACUCCCCCAUGAUUUGAAUCAACUGGUAUUGGAAUUGGAUUUGGAUCUGAAUUAAUAGGAAUGUCAUUUGAGAAUCUUAGUUUGUCAUCUUUAUCAAUGUCUCAAUGGUUUGAUUUUUAAGGAAGACAACAUCUCUGUUUCUGAUCAUGUUCUUUUUGAUAGAAUCAUACAGUCUAUAGCCAAAAUCUUCAUGCUCAUUGCCUAUGAAAAUACACUACUUUGAUUUCACAUCAAGUUUUGACCUUUCAUUUUUGAAAAUAUGAACAAAUAUCUGGCAACCAAAAACUCUCAAAUGUUUAAAGGACACAUUUUUCCCUGUCCAUACUUUCUCUAGGAUAUCACCAUCUAAAAGAACUAAUAGAGAGAUUAAUCAAAUCAAAUACAGUCCUCAUUGCUACAGCCCAAAAGGAUUUUGGUAGUUUAGCGUUGGAGAGUAUAUAUCUGACUUACUUAGUAAUGGAUCCAUUCAUUUUCUCUACACCUCUAUUCUCUUGAGGAGUUUUUGACACUAUUUUUUCUAGUCUAAUUCCAUGGGACUUGCAGUAGCUUUCAAAUGGUCUCUUAUACUCACCACCAUUGUUACCACAAACACACUUUAACUGUUUGCCAAUCUCCCUCUCAACUUUGCAAUAAAAAUCUUUAAACACAUCCAAAACCCAAUCUUUGAAUUUCAAAACAAAACAUCAAACUUUUUUAACAAAGUUAUCAAUAAAAAUAAUAAAAUAAAUAGCACACCAAGAGACCUAUCUUUCGUAUAGUAAACAUCAGUAUGCACCAACUCUAAUGGAUUUAAUUUUCUAGAUAAAAAAAAUUUAAAAUGCAACUCUAUGUUGUUUUCCAUAAAUACAUUCAACAUAUGGUUUGAGUGCAUUACCUCUAACUUUAUAUAGGAGUUGCUUGUAAACAAGUGUUUGAAUUCUUUUUUCAUUCAUGUGUAAAAAUCGCCUAUGUCAAAGGUUAAUGGGGGAAUCAUGAACUACAUUCAUUUCUCCCUUUCCAGUUUGACUUAUAUCAAAUAGAUGGUACAUUAUUUCUUUCCUCUGGCAAUAAUGAGAUUUUUUUUUGCUGAGUUUUCAUUUGCCUCCACCUUUAAACUAUGAUAACCCUCAUCAUCAAGUUUUUCUGUAGAAACAAGAUGAAGGCGAAUAUCAGAAACAUAUCGAGCAUUCUCAAGAUUAGUUGGCACUCGGUAUCUGUGUCCAAAUAUAUGUCUCCCAUGCCAAUAACUCUGCACGAAAUCUCAUUUUUCAUCCUAAUAUAGCCAAGGUUUCCUUUAGUGUAGGUUGAAAAGAAAUGCCUUUGAAAAAUAACAUGGUAAAAUACACUUGAAUUAACUAUCAUAUCACUAUCAUGAUAGGUAAUAUUCACGUGACCAUCAUCACAAAACACAAAUAUAUCAUCAUGAGUUGCUACAAUUACUAUAGUCUCUUCAUCAUCUUUUUCUUUCGUCUUGCCUUUUUCUUUUUUAUCAACUUGUUUCUAUUUUAAGAUUCUACACUCCUUCAUAUAAUGUCCCUUUUUUUUGCAAUAAAAGCAUGCAUCAUUUUUUUGUAACUUAAACCUACCUCUAGAUUUGUUAUUCCUAUUAUAGGGUCCUCUAUUUUUACUUCUCCCCUUUCUUUGUUUCUUUUCUAUCACUAAGGUUUGGGAUUCAUUUACAAUUUCUUGUUCCUUCUUUCUGAAUUUUUCAUUCCUAGUAGCCUCUUUGCCAUACACAUGGUCAACACAUCGUUCGAAACUAAAUUACUAACAGAAACUGCCAUUGCCUUCUAGUUAUCUAACAGUGAACUGAACAAUAGCAAAGCCUAUAGCUCAUUAUCUAAGUUAAAGUUUAAUGUAGUUGCUUGGUUUAUUAAACCCUAAAAAUUACUUAGAUGCUCAAUUAUAUUUGCACCAUCUUUGUAUGUCAUCUGAAUAAUCUGUUUCAAAUCAGAGACUUUAUUUAAACUGAUCUUUCUUUCAUACAUACUUUCUAACUUUUCAUAGUACAUCAGUUCUAAUUUCAUUAGCAAAGUAUUUAAAAUUACUCUAAUUAAUCCACUUUCUAAUAUUAUCAAAGUUUUCUGUGCAUAACAACCCAUUUUUUCAUCACUCAUAUUACUUGAUCUAUUCUUAUUAUCUAAAAUAGAGUCAAACAAAUUUCUGCAAUACAAGUAGUCUUUCACUUUGCAAUAGAAGUUGCAUUCAAUUUUAUCAUGCAAUCACUAUCUGAAUCAUCCAUUUUAAUCAGUACAAAUGAGCAACCAAUCUGGCGGUUUUGAUACCACUUUAUUGGAAAAGGAGUAUCAGUGCAUGCACACAAUAUCAGAGUUAACACAGGAUAAAUUACUCUUUUCUCAAGUACUAGUUAAAAUAGGAACAAACCAAAUUAUCAAGUAAUGAUAUCAACAGUAAUAAUAAAAUAUAGUAAAAUAAAAGGUGCAGGACACCAAGAUUUUUAAUGUGAAAAACUCAAACUGAAAAAAAUCACGGGGUCUUGUUCAAUAAAAAAUCUUCACUAUAACAGUAUUGAAAAUACAUAAGUUUAGCCAGAACAUCCAGAUGACAACAACAUUAUCAUUAUCAACCAAGCAAAAUUGCUACAAAAUUAUCCCCCAAAAACUACAACUGUCAAAGAAGUGAAUUUGGAAGGAUGUUAUCAAAUGAAGAGAAAAUUCAAAAUCCAAACCAACAGAUGAGUAGAUCUUGACAAGAGGGACGCGUGGCUAAAUUGUCAUUUCAAUCAGGUUUCAAAUCACCAUUCGAUCAAGAUAUUGAAGUUAUUUUUCUCUCUAGUUUCUCUCCCUAAUUUUCUUUUUCUUUGUUUCUCUCAAGAACGUAAAGUAGCGACUAAAGAUUUUUCUUGUUUCUAAAAAGGAAAAAAAACAUGGCUCUAACACUAGUCAAGAGACUAUUCACUAGGUUUGCUUCAAGUCAAGUUGACUUGAUCAAUUGAUGGGCUUUGGUUUGUGGGCCACCAAAUGAGGAGGACCAAGCCAAACAUGAAAUAUGUAAAUGUACAAUUGUGACUCGAGUGUACAAAUAAAACAUGAAAACUUACAAAUGAGUUUUGAGAAAUGUAUAAAUGAGAUAUGGUAAUAAGUGUUAAAACGGAGUAAGAAUCAACAUGUGUAUCUGGCUUUGGAUCUAGCUAGAUCCAAGUCAAUUCAUGUCCAGAAAAGGCACUACUUGAGAAUAGGAUAUGCACUUUGUAUUUGCUCCUAUGGAGGGAGGAUCAACAUGCGAAUGCUUUAAGGCUUGGUCAUAGAAUUGGAGCUGUAAGCGGAUCUUGGCAAGGUUUAGAAUGCUCUAGAUUUAUUGUGGGAACUUUUCAUGUGUAAAAGUGGUUACUUUGAUCCUGGCAAAGUCUUAUCAUUUUAUUUCGGGUAAAAUACCAAAAAUCCCUCCUGUGGCUUGCCUAAUGUAUAAUUUAUCUCUUUCUGGUUUGAAAAUAUACAAUUUAACUCCUUAUCAUUUCAGUUAAAGUGAAAGUCUAACGGAAAACAUCUAAACUAACGUUUAAAUGGAACAUAUCAAAAUUGCUCCUCUAUAAAUGAAAACAUUAGAAGAAUAUUUCGUCAUUUUGAGAAUUCAAAAAAAAGAGAUGUAAGAGAGAAAGAGAGAGAAGCAAAGCUUUGGAAACCCUAGGAAGACACAAUCAGUUAUUUGCAAAAAUUUCUCAACAAUUGGUGAAGAUUUCUAGCAGAAUAGGAUGUCAAUUGCAAGCACAAGACAUCAACUGCAUCAUAUUGAAGACUCAGAAGAAGACCCGUAGUAGGAUGGGUAAGUUUCUAAGCUUCGAAUGCUUCCUAUUUUUAUGAUCUCUUAGUUUAGGGAAAUAAUUUGGAUAAUAAUGUGGAUAAACACCUUGUUUGUACGCUGCUAUGUAUUGAAGUGAUUUUUUGUAGACUAAGAUGUAUUGUGAUUGUUACGAUUGAUGUUUUCAAUUUCUUUGAUAUCUUAAUUUGUUCGAAUAAUUUGGAUAAAAGUGUGAAUAAACACCUAGAUCCAUUUGUUUGUAUAUAUUGAAGUGAAUUUUUCUAGAUCUAGAUGUAUAUGACUUUUAUGAUAAAGCCAAUUUGUUAGAAAAAGGUUGAUAAAUCCUAGCUGUUGAAAAGAUAUGAACUUUACGAAAAUUUUAAUUUUAUAAUGGUUUAGAUCACCGUCAUGAUUGUGGUUAGAUUAUUAUUAUUGUUGGCAAUUUAGUGGUCUAGAUAGGGUCAGGUUCUUGUGAGUAGUUGUAGUGAACAUACAUCGUUAUCAUGUUUGCUUUUUUAACGUAAAGUAUAGACAACUUAUUUUUUAUAUAUCUAUACUAUAUAUAUAUAUAUAUAUAUAUAUAUUUGCAUUUGUCUGGUUAACCGAAGACAACACAUAAGCAAAGGAAAAAGAAAUGGUUGAAAUACACUUGUACUUUAGUGGGAUUUUUAGAAGUGUGCCAAGCAUAGCCUAUGUAAGAGAUUACAGGCUAGCUAUAUGGAAGGAUAGAGCUCCAAGUGAACUGUCCAUAGUUGGACUAUGUAGAAUGUUCAAGUUAAUUGAGAAGGAUGCAACCAGGGUCAAUUUUUGGUGGUAUGUAUUAGAUUUGAACAUGGAGACUCGAUUGCUGCCAAUAACAGGGAAGAUGACCAUUAAAUUGAUGAAUGAUGCACAUUUGCAUCUUCCUGUGAGGGUGAUAUAUAAUUGUAAGUGGGAACCAAACAUUUGAAGAGCCUCUCCAACAUAGUGAUGGGGUCAACAUGUUGCAAAAAGAUGGUGCAAAUGCUAACCACACAUGUGAAGAAAUUGCGGAUAAUAGAGCUGCAAAGGUAUAGCUGGACUAGAUGUGGACACCAAAACUAAGUGUUGUGGACAAAGUAGGUAAAUCAAAAAAUAUUGAGCUUGAUUGGUUAGAUGAAGGGCUUGAGAGCGGCGAGGAUGAAGACAUUUUUGCUGUGAAUGCAUCUAAGAAAGAGGCUGCUAAGUCAAAGUUGCAUUUGUUUACUCUGAAUGGUGAUGUCAAAAGUCCAAAAAAAAUUAACUGCAGGAGACUAGCCUACUAUUCAGGAGAGGGAAACAUUAGCAAAUUACUACUCUACACGUUCACACUUGUAGGACAGUGGAAAUCAUGUACAACAAUAGCCCAAAGAAGACUUUGAAGCACUAAAUAGUGAAAUUGGAUUAGAAGCCAAUUGGAAUGAACCUGCAAUCCCAAAUGAGGAGCUACUGGAGAGGACUAAUUUCGAUGGCGAGAAGCCUGAAGAAUAUCUUGAUUUGAAUCCAAAAUUUGGGUUUAAGAAUCCUCAUUUUGAACUAAAAGUGGACUAAAGGUUCAAAAAUUUUAGAUUAUUCAGGAUGGCUUUGUUGGAAUGGAAUAUGAGAGAGAGGUAUGAAAUGAAGUGGAUCAGAAAUGAAUCUUAUCGAAUUACAGUUGAGUGUGAGAGAGGUUGCUCAUGGAGGAUCCAUGCAUCAAAAGUUCAAGUGACUAGUACCUUCCAGAUCAAGACUUUGAAGAGUACGCACAUUUGUGGUAGAGAGUACAACAACAAACAUGUUACAUCAAGGUACUUUAGCCAACGAUAUCAAUUUAAGAUUAGGGAUGAUCGUACGUGCAACUUAAUUGGCUUUCAGAAUGAGGUUAAAAGGGAUUUGAUGGUUAAUAUCACUUCAUCUAAGCUGUAUAGAGCGAAGAGGAAGGCAAGAGAAGAUAUACAGGGAUUAGACAUAGAGCAGUAUCAUAAUCUAUGGCAUUAUGCAGCCAUGAUCGUGGAGUAUAAUCCUGGUAGCAUAGCAAAGUUCAAAUUGACAAACCUAAUGCAGCAUCUAGAGAUAUAUUUGAAAAAAUUUACUUCUGUCUUCAUGCUUGCAAGCAGGGAUUUCUUGGCGGACGUAGACCAAUUAUUGGUCUAGAUAGGUGCUUUGUAAAGAGUACAUUUGGUGGCCAAUUAUUAUCUGCCUUAGGGAGAGAUGGUAAUGAUAAUAUGAUCCCAAUAGCAUUGGCUGUUGUUGAAGUUGAAAGGUAUGACUCAUGGAGGUGGUUCCUACAGCUUUUGCUAGAUAAUUUAGGAUUAGGGAUGGACAACAUACCUUAGACCUUCAUUCCAGAUCAACAAAAAGGACUAGUUCAACCUCUUAGAGAGUUUUUUUUCUGAGUCUGAGCAUAGGUUCUGCAUAAGACAUAUGUAUCAAAACUUGAGCUAAAAAUUCACAGGAAAGAGUUGAAGGACUUAUUUUGGGCAUGUGCAAGUGCUAGAAUGAGGCAGACUAGCAUGUGACACUGAAAGACAUGGAAAAAGUUGACUCACAAGCAUCAACAUGGCUUUCAAAAUGUCCACUAACUCUGUGGACCAGAUCACACUUCAGUGGAAGAAGUAAGUGUGACAUAUUGGUUAACAAUUUAAACAAGUCAUUUUAUAAUUACAUUCUUUCUGUCACGGCCCCACCUCCCCUUAAGGCGAACCAAAGGGUUUGGCGAGUCGCCUGCCCGGCUCUCGCCGGGACUCAGUCGUUCCUUAAUCAAAUCCAGAAUAAAUCACAAGAAUAAAUAGGGCAGCAAUCCAAACUUAAAGCGGAAUUUGGCCUUGAAAACGCGAUAACUGGAUGUCGAUGUCUUCAUAGGAAAUGUAGGUCUAGGUUUUAGCUUCGAAACGCUAUAAAAUUCGCCUCAAUCCGAUAAGCGUAACUCCAAUUAUGAUCAAAACACCCGAGGAUGGCAAAGCUGCCUUUCUUUUUGUUCCCGAAUGCACUUUGCUAAGAUGCUAACUGUGAGGAACCAACUUUUAACCAGCAUUUCCUCUAAUUUUCAACUUUGUAAGCUUUCAUAAAUGAUAGUUACGGUUAGUCUGAGAUUUAAUGGCUAUAUAUAGCUCCACAAGUAGAGUUAAACUAAAGUAAAUGAGAGGAAAACUCAUGAUAAUUAAAUUGGCUUCUAAUUACUUAAUACUGCCUUUACAAAUAAUUUAAAGACUAUAAAAUUUGAGGGACUGGUGUACUGGAAUAAAAUUUAAUUUACAAACAAUCUAGAGUUUAAUUAAUUAAAAAGGCGACCAAUAGAGUGCUCCUAAGCCAUAAUCUUAGAAUCUUGAGUGGAAAAUGAUUUAAUUCUAGAAUAAAUAUCUUAUAAAUUAUUAACUUGGGAAAACAGGUAUAAUUCUUGAUUAAAACAAUAAAGUCAAUAAGUUUCAAAAUAAAAUGAAAAAUGAAUAUUGAAUAUAUUAUAUUUGUACUUUAAAGUCAAACUUGAUUUUAAUAGUUCAAGUGAUAAAGUAAGAACAAUAAGUGAACAUCUACAAACUAUGUAUUUGAUUUGGAAUUAUUAACUUGUCCAGGAAGUAGCUGUGAACCAGAAAAUCGACUCGAGACUCGAGAGUAAUUUAUUUGGAUAUUUGGUGAGUGUUUUCUGAAUUUAUGUGUUAAACUGCUUAUGUGUACCUAAGUGCAAUUAUAUGGCAAAUGUGCUUAUUAUGAAAUAUUGCUAAGUGAUUCAUUGGAAGCGUAUCUCAAUUGUCCCUCGUCUUCUAAGUCGAGGGUGUACUUUAUCGCACUUGACUUAGUUGAACUUGAAGAUUGAUAAUUGAUCAAGUGAUAUUGUAAGUGUGCAUGACUGUAAGCCGUGUGUGUACUUUAUCACGCCGGCUGAACUGGGCCCCAAAACCCUCUGUUCAACGGACUAUUCGAGCCAGCAAAGGGCUUGGUCGGUAGGACGGUAGGUUUGGGUAAGUGUUUUGGUAUGCUUGAGUAUUACCACGGUGUACUAGAUUACUGAUAUUGAUAUGGCCAUCCAAGUGAGGGAAGUGUUUAUUGUUUUGGAGGUUAUAAGGAGGAGUUCGGCGGAGUGUGUAGUGCAUUGAAGUGGCUCUAAUGCGAGCACCGUAUCCUUUUAAAAGUGAUUGUUCAGUGAAGUGUUUCCUCAAUUGCUAAUGAAAGUGAUUGUACAGUGAAAUGUGCACUAUUUAUUUAAUUGUAUUGAUUCAUGUGAUUAUUAAAUGUUACUUGCAUGGAAACCUCACGGGCGUAAGCUCACCCUUUUAGUUUUGUUUUCCUUACAGGAGUCAAAGAUUGAAGAGUGAUUGGAUUGAACUAGAAAGUUAUUUUGGGAAGAUCCAUUAUUCUGUGUAUAUAGUGUAGGCAUGGUCUCUGUUGAAUUUUGAAACGGUUGAAUUUUUGUUUGAGUUGGUGUGAUAUUAAGAAUGGAUAUUUAGAACAGGUAUUUUGUUUCUUUUAUUGGACAAAUUUAUGUUUCAAACUGAUUGGAGAUGUACUUAAGAGUGAAUGUUCAGUUGUUCAAUAGUAAUGUUAUCUUUGAAGUUAAUGUAAGUGAGUGAGUUCUGGCGAGAGUCAGGCAGACGAUUCGCUAACUUCUAGAGUAGACCCUAGGAGAAGGUGGGGCCGUCACACUUUAGAAUUGUCAAUUUCUGACAAAUUCAAAGCAAAAUUUUUGCCUCUUAUUUUUACUGAGAAA